This 497-nucleotide ribosomal RNA is filed under the name uncultured bacterium. Its description in RNAcentral is "partial 16S ribosomal RNA". It matches the Rfam family "Bacterial small subunit ribosomal RNA", at positions 28 to 507 of the family's 1533-position model. The record is from RNAcentral.
GACGAACGCUGGCGGCGUGCCUAAUACAUGCAAGUUGAGCGCUGAAGGUUGGUACUUGUACCAACUGGAUGAGCAGCGAACGGGUGAGUAACGCGUGGGGAAUCUGCCUUUGAGCGGGGGACAACAUUUGGAAACGAAUGCUAAUACCGCAUAAAAACUUUAAACACAAGUUUUAAGUUUGAAAGAUGCAAUUGCAUCACUCAAAGAUGAUCCCGCGUUGUAUUAGCUAGUUGGUGAGGUAAAGGCUCACCAAGGCGAUGAUACAUAGCCGACCUGAGAGGGUGAUCGGUCACAUUGGGACUGAGACACGGCCCAAACUCCUACGGGAGGCAGCAGUAGGGAAUCUUCGGCAAUGGACGAAAGUCUGACCGAGCAACGCCGCGUGAGUGAAGAAGGUUUUCGGAUCGUAAAACUCUGUUGGUAGAGAAGAACGUUGGUGAGAGUGGAAAGCUCAUCAAGUGACGGUAACUACCCAGAAAGGGACGGCUAACAACGUG